AAAGGAAGGGGUCCAUGUAGCUG
RNAcentral lists this small nuclear RNA (23 nucleotides) under Arabidopsis thaliana (thale cress). RNAcentral's name for it is "snRNA_02033". The record is from RNAcentral. Lineage: Eukaryota; Viridiplantae; Streptophyta; Magnoliopsida; Brassicales; Brassicaceae.